This 253-nucleotide ribosomal RNA is filed under the name uncultured bacterium. RNAcentral describes it as "partial 16S ribosomal RNA". It matches the Rfam family "Bacterial small subunit ribosomal RNA", at positions 524 to 776 of the family's 1533-position model. The record is from RNAcentral.
UACAGAGGGGGCAAGCGCUGUUCGGAAUUACUGGGCGUAAAGGGCGCGUAGGCGGCCUGUUAAGUCGAACGUGAAAUCCCCGGGCUCAACCCGGGAACUGCGUCCGAUACUGGCAGGCUUGAAUCCGGGAGAGGGAUGCGGAAUUCCAGGUGUAGCGGUGAAAUGCGUAGAUAUCUGGAGGAACACCGGUGGCGAAGGCGGCAUCCUGGACCGGCAUUGACGCUGAGGCGCGAAAGCCAGGGGAGCAAACGGG